This 508-nucleotide ribosomal RNA is filed under the name uncultured bacterium. Its description in RNAcentral is "partial 16S ribosomal RNA". It matches the Rfam family "Bacterial small subunit ribosomal RNA", at positions 28 to 523 of the family's 1533-position model. The record is from RNAcentral.
GAUGAACGCUAGCUACAGGCUUAACACAUGCAAGUCGAGGGGAAACGAUAGGGAAAGCUUGCUUUUUCUAGGCGUCGACCGGCGCACGGGUGAGUAACGCGUAUCCAACCUGCCCAUCACUUGGGGAUAACCUUGCGAAAGUAAGACUAAUACCCAAUGACGUCUCUAGAAGACAUCUGAAGGAGAUUAAAGAUUUAUCGGUGAUGGAUGGGGAUGCGUCUGAUGAGCUUGUUGGCGGGGUAACGGCCCACCAAGGCGACGAUCAGUAGGGGAUCUGAGAGGAAGGUCCCCCACAGUGGAACUGAGACACGGUCCAAACUCCUACGGGAGGCAGCAGGGAGGAAUAUUGGGCAAUGGACGAGAGUCUGAACCAGCCAAGUAGCGUGCAGGAAGACGGCCCUAUGGGUUGUAAACUGCUUUUAUAAGGGAAUAAAGUGAGUCUCGUGAGACUUUUUGCAUGUACCUUAUGAAUAAGGACCGGCUAAUUCCGUGCCAGCCGCCGCCGUAA